RNAcentral lists this microRNA precursor (206 nucleotides) under Oryza brachyantha (malo sina). RNAcentral's name for it is "MIR812 microRNA precursor family". It matches the Rfam family "MIR812 microRNA precursor family". Lineage: Eukaryota; Viridiplantae; Streptophyta; Magnoliopsida; Poales; Poaceae. The record is from Rfam by way of RNAcentral.
AAUAAACAUAUCUUUCACUUUUUAUCUAUAAUUUUUGACUCGUCGUCUUGUUUAAGAUUUUUUUAUGAUUAAUAUUUUUGUUUUUAUUAGAUGAUAAAUUAUGAAUAAUACUUUACGUGUGACUAAUUUUUUUAAAUUUCUUAAAAAAAUUUCAAACAAGAUGGAUGGUUAAAUGCUGGGCACAGGAACUAAAAAGUUGUCUUAUU